CAGUCGCCACGGGAAUACGAAGGGUGCAAGCGUUACUCGGAAUUACUGGGCGUAAAGCGUGCGUAGGUGGUUCGUUAAGUCUGAUGUGAAAGCCCUGGGCUCAACCUGGGAAUUGCAUUGGAUACUGGCGAGCUAGAGUGCGGUAGAGGGUAGUGGAAUUCCCGGUGUAGCAGUGAAAUGCGUAGAGAUCGGGAGGAACAUCUGUGGCGAAGGCGACUGCCUGGACCAGCACUGACACUGAGGCACGAAAGCGUGGGGAGCAAACAGGAUUAGAUACCCGCGUAGUCCCUGUCUCUUAUAC
RNAcentral lists this ribosomal RNA (301 nucleotides) under uncultured bacterium. RNAcentral describes it as "partial 16S ribosomal RNA". It matches the Rfam family "Bacterial small subunit ribosomal RNA", at positions 509 to 807 of the family's 1533-position model. The record is from RNAcentral.